RNAcentral lists this ribosomal RNA (650 nucleotides) under uncultured bacterium. RNAcentral describes it as "bacterial SSU rRNA". It matches the Rfam family "Bacterial small subunit ribosomal RNA", at positions 139 to 808 of the family's 1533-position model. The record is from RNAcentral.
ACGGAUAACAUACCGAAAGGUAUGCUAAUACAAGAUAAAAUACUUUUAUCGCAUGGUAGAAGUAUCAAAGCUUUUGCGGUACAGGAUGGACCCGCGUCUGAUUAGCUAGUUGGUAAGGUAACGGCUUACCAAGGCGACGAUCAGUAGCCGACCUGAGAGGGUGAUCGGCCACAUUGGAACUGAGACACGGUCCGAACUCCUACGGGAGGCAGCAGUGGGGAAUAUUGCACAAUGGGCGAAAGCCUGAUGCAGCAACGCCGCGUGAGCGAUGAAGGCCUUCGGGUCGUAAAGCUCUGUCCUCAAGGAAGAUAAUGACGGUACUUGAGGAGGAAGCCCCGGCUAACUACGUGCCAGCAGCCGCGGUAAUACGUAGGGGGCUAGCGUUAUCCGGAAUUACUGGGCGUAAAGGGUGCGUAGGUGGUUUCUUAAGUCAGAGGUGAAAGGCUACGGCUCAACCGUAGUAAGCCUUUGAAACUGGGGAACUUGAGUGCAGGAGAGGAGAGUGGAAUUCCUAGUGUAGCGGUGAAAUGCGUAGAUAUUAGGAGGAACACCAGUUGCGAAGGCGGCUCUCUGGACUGUAACUGACACUGAGGCACGAAAGCGUGGGGAGCAAACAGGAUUAGAUACCCUGGUAGUCCACGCCGUAAACG